AAAAAUACCAAUAAGAGACGAGAUCAUAGUGAUGUAGUAAU
Molecule: non-coding RNA, 41 nt
Filed under: Trypanosoma brucei brucei
Lineage: Eukaryota; Euglenozoa; Kinetoplastea; Trypanosomatida; Trypanosomatidae
Source: RNAcentral